GACGAACGCUGGCGGCGUGCUUAACACAUGCAAGUCGAACGAUGAAACGGUUUCGGCCGGGGAUUAGUGGCGAACGGGUGAGUAACACGCGGGCAAUUUGCCCUGCACGCUGGGAUAAGCCCGGGAAACCGGGUCUAAUACCGGAUACGACACUCCGAGGCAACUUGGGGUGUGGAAAGUUCCGGCGGUGCAGGAUGAGCCUGGGGCCUAUCAGCUUGUUGGUGGGGUAAUGGCCUACCAAGGCGACGACGGGUAGCCGGCCUGAGAGGGUGAACGGCCACACGGGGACUGAGAGAGGGCCCAGAGUGCUACGGGAGGCAGCAGUGGGGAAUAUUGCACAAUGGGCGAAAGCCUGAUGCAGCGACGCCGCGUGAGGGAUGACGGCCUUCGUGUUGUAAACCUCUGUCAGCAGGGAAGAAGCGAAAGUGACGUUACCAGCAGAAGAAGCACCGGCUAACUACGUG
Molecule: ribosomal RNA, 464 nt
Filed under: uncultured bacterium
Lineage: Bacteria
Description: partial 16S ribosomal RNA
Rfam family: Bacterial small subunit ribosomal RNA
Source: RNAcentral